Molecule: transfer RNA, 75 nt
Filed under: Sphaerodactylus townsendi
Lineage: Eukaryota; Metazoa; Chordata; Lepidosauria; Squamata; Sphaerodactylidae
Description: tRNA-Ala
Rfam family: tRNA
About the family: Transfer RNA (tRNA) molecules are approximately 80 nucleotides in length.
Source: RNAcentral
AGUGUGUGUGUGGCUCAAUAGUAGAGCAUCUGCUUGGCAUGUGGAAAGUUCCAGGUUCAAUCCCUGGCAUCUCUA